This is an RNA transcript of Tribolium castaneum (red flour beetle), 1815 nucleotides long. RefSeq lists it as uncharacterized. The record is from RefSeq and is a predicted model, not a curated record. Lineage: Eukaryota; Metazoa; Arthropoda; Insecta; Coleoptera; Tenebrionidae. The transcript has 7 exons.
GUAUUUUUUCCCCGGUGUAUCUUAUUAUGUAGUGUUGGUAACAGUUGCCUGGUUAACAAAUAUCCUAUUUGCCAUUUUUAUGAUGGCGUAUUUUUUCGACCAAACAACAGAAAUGAGAAAUACAAUGACUGAAAUAAUCGACGAUUUACCAUCGUCACACUCACUGAGUAAAAUGCUUUCCAAUUAUAAAAAAAAAGAAUUGCUUCGCUUAAAACUAAAACACGAAGAUUUCUGUUUCAAUGUUUGUGGCUUCUUCCCUUUAAAUAUUUCCUUUAUUUAUAUGAUGGUAGCUGGUAUAACAAUGUACACGAUUUACUUACUGCAGUUUGGGCCAAUCAAUAAUCAAAAAUUAAAUCCACAAGUGCAAAAUAUUGGGAAUUAAUAAAUAUUUAAUGCAAAUGAUAAACGAACCGAAGAAAUUGAGAAAUUUUAUAUUCUAAUUUUAUAUUAAAUCAUAAAAAGGACAAGUCUUACAAACCACACAAUGUUCUUUCGUGACUUUAUUUCUACGUAGGUAUAGGUGCAGGACGUACUCAAUAUAGUUGAUGGUGUUUGUUAUUAUCAUUUAAUAAUUUUUUUCUUAUAUAGGCGUCACUUGUUGCAUUAAAUGAUUCAGUACAAUACAAAUUUAAUUGAAAAGGCUGGUUAUUCAUUAGCUUUGUACACUUACAAAGGCAGUGCGAUAUGAACAUAACCGAAACCGCCAUACUGAUAUGUAAAAUAUGGAGUUUUAUUGGUUUACCAUAUUUUAAAUUCGAAAAUGGAAAAUUUGAAUAUAAGAAAUCAAAAUCAUCGAUAAUUUUAAUUUUUAUUGUGAUAGCAAAAAUUGUGUUUUUUAUCAAGUCCAUCGAAUUGUCAAAUGACUUAUUUUUUUAUUUAACUAUUUUACAAACAGGUUCAUUAUAUUUAUUAGUCAUCGGUUUGGGAAUUUAUUCAUAUUUAAAAAAAAGACGAAUCGCAAUAAUUCUAAACGAUUUGAUAAUGCUAACGAAAAUGUUGUGUCAUUUUUCGAGAAAUAAUGAUCUCCUUCGAAGUAACGUUUCGAAACCAGUAAUUUGGUAUUUAAUUGCACAAGUGACCAUAACUGUAAGUAAAAUUUUGGGAGUUGUUUUAACAAUUUCACCUGUAGCUGAAGUUUACUUAAACCUUUUCUUCUACAACUUUGCGGAAUUGUUUAGUUACAAUAUAAACCUACUCAUAUUUUUCUAUUUGAUAAUUUUUCAAAAUGCUUACACAUCAUAUUUUAAUGCAAUAACAAGUAAAAACACCCACAACGAUCCGAAAACAGUUGUUGAAAUUUUUUACAAAUUUUACGAGAUUUCCAACAAUAUUAACAAAACCCUCCAAGUGCCUAUUCUUUUGAGAAUUUUCACCGACUUUGUUUUUGCGAUAGCUUCAAUGUUUUACUUAGCGGUUUUGUUGUAUAUUAUGCCCGAAUUACCUUUCUUUGUUGUGGCGGAAAUGGUUCUUUGGUUAGUAAAUACAUUAUUUGCAAUUUUUAUUAUGGCGUAUUUUUUCGACCAAAUGACAGAAAAGCGGAAUAAAAUGAUGGAAAUAAUUGACAACUUACCAUCGUCACACACUCUCAUUAGUAAAUUUCUCUCCUCUUACAAAAAAAAAGAACUACUUCGAUUAAGACUAAAACACGAACGGUUCUGUUUCAAUGUAUGUGGUUUUUUCCCUCUGAAUAAUACUUUCAUCUACUUGAUGAUAGCUGGUAUCGCAACUUACACGACUUACCUACUGCAGUUUGGGAAAAUUUUCCUUCAAAAAUUUUAGCCCUCAAAUGCACAAUAAUACGAAUAAAAAUGUAUG